This 506-nucleotide ribosomal RNA is filed under the name uncultured bacterium. Its description in RNAcentral is "partial 16S ribosomal RNA". It matches the Rfam family "Bacterial small subunit ribosomal RNA", at positions 30 to 523 of the family's 1533-position model. The record is from RNAcentral.
AUUGAACGCUGGCGGCAGGCUUAACACAUGCAAGUCGAGCGGUAAUAGAGAGAAGCUUGCUUCUCUGCUGACGAGCGGCGGACGGGUGAGUAAUGCCUAGGAAUCUGCCUAGUAGUGGGGGAUAACAUGCCGAAAGGUAAGCUAAUACCGCAUACGUCCUACGGGAGAAAGGAGGGGACCUUCGGGCCUUUCGCUAUUAGAUGAGCCUAGGUCGGAUUAGUUAGUUGGUGAGGUAAUGGCUCACCAAGACCGCGAUCCGUAACUGGUCUGAGAGGAUGAUCAGUCACACUGGAACUGAGACACGGUCCAGACUCGUACGGGAGGCAGCAGUGGGGAAUAUUGGACAAUGGGGGGAACCCUGAUCCAGCCAUGCCGCGUGUGUGAAGAAGGUCUUAGGAUUGUAAAGCACUUUAAGUUGGGAGGAAGAGCAGUUAACUAAUAUUUGACUGUUUUGACGUUACCGACAGAAUAAGCACCGGCUAACUUCGUGCCAGCAGCCGCCGUAA